Molecule: ribosomal RNA, 478 nt
Filed under: uncultured bacterium
Lineage: Bacteria
Description: partial 16S ribosomal RNA
Rfam family: Bacterial small subunit ribosomal RNA
Source: RNAcentral
GACGAACGCUGGCGGCGUGCUUAACACAUGCAAGUCGAACGGUAAGGCCCUUCGGGGUACACGAGUGGCGAACGGGUGAGUAACACGUGGGUGAUCUGCCCUGCACUUCGGGAUAAGCCUGGGAAACUGGGUCUAAUACCGGAUAGGACCACUGCCUGCAUGGGUGGUGGUGGAAAGCUUUUGCGGUGUGGGAUGGGCCCGCGGCCUAUCAGCGUGUUGGUGGGGUGAUGGCCUACCAAGGCGACGACGGGUAGCCGGCCUGAGAGGGUGACCGGCCACACUGGGACUGAGAUACGGCCCAGACUCCUACGGGAGGCAGCAGUGGGGAAUAUUGCACAAUGGGCGCAAGCCUGAUGCAGCGACGCCGCGUGAGGGAUGACGGCCUUCGGGUUGUAAACCUCUUACAGCACCGACGAAGCGCAAGUGACGGUAGGUGCAGAAGAAGGACCGGCCAACUACGUGCCAGCCGCCGCAGUAA